RNAcentral lists this ribosomal RNA (600 nucleotides) under uncultured Alphaproteobacteria bacterium. Its description in RNAcentral is "bacterial SSU rRNA". It matches the Rfam family "Bacterial small subunit ribosomal RNA", at positions 54 to 699 of the family's 1533-position model. The record is from RNAcentral. Lineage: Bacteria; Pseudomonadati; Pseudomonadota; Alphaproteobacteria.
CAUGCAAGUCGAACGAAGUAGCAAUACUUAGUGGCAGACGGGUGAGUAACAUGUAGGUAUCUGCCCUUUGGCCUGGAAUAACACGAGGAAACUUGUGCUAAUACCGGAUAAGUCUUUACAGAGAAAGCUUUAUGCACCAUUGGAUGAGCCUGCACUUGAUUAGUUUGUUGGUGGGGUAAUGACCUACCAAGACUGCGAUCAAUAGCUGAUUUGAGAGGAUGAUCAGCCACAUUGGGACUGAGACACGGCCCAAACUCCUACGGGAGGCAGCAGUGGGGAAUCUUGCACAAUGGAGGAAACUCUGAUGCAGCGAUGCCGCGUGAGUGAAGAAGGCCCUUGGGUUGUAAAGCUCUUUCGUCGGGGAAGAAAAUGACUGUACCCGAAUAAGAAGGUCCGGCUAACUUCGUGCCAGCAGCCGCGGUAAUACGAAGGGACCUAGCGUAGUUCGGAAUUACUGGGCUUAAAGAGUUCGUAGGUGGUUGAAAAAGUUAGUGGUGAAAUCCCAGAGCUUAACUCUGGAACUGCCAUUAAAACUUUUCAGCUAGAGUAUGAUAGAGGAAAGCAGAAUUUCUAGUGUAGAGGUGAAAUUCGUAGAUAUUA